This 1008-nucleotide unclassified non-coding RNA is filed under the name Hevea brasiliensis (rubber tree). Lineage: Eukaryota; Viridiplantae; Streptophyta; Magnoliopsida; Malpighiales; Euphorbiaceae. The record is from RNAcentral.
CCAAAAAAAAAAAAAAAAUUUAUAAACUAUCUUUAGUUCUGAUUGCGAUUGCUUGUUUAGUUUCGUUCAAGGCACGGGUUAUGUGUUUGCUUAUCCAAUAUAGAAACCCAUAGCAUUCGUGCAGAUUAUACUAUAAUUUAAGUCUCUUUAUUCGUUCCUUCAGAUAAAUUUUGCUUGGUCCCGACCAAAAUUUGUUAGUUUAGUUUCAGGUGUGUCUUGAGUCAAGGCAAAGUUCUUGGAAGCACUUUGACUAAAGGCAUUUUCAAUUUGUUGCAAUUUGAUGUUCUUGAUAAGCAUUUUAUGAUGGGAACUUCUGAGGCAGUUCUGCAAAUUUUUUCUUCUGGUUCUUGUAUUUUAAGUUCUGAUCCACGUGCUAGCAAUUUAGAUUUGAAUUUUGCUUCCAAAUUCCACAUAAAAUGUGUAAAGAAAAGGGCAUCGAGGCGUAAGCAAAUGUUCAACUGUUCAAGUUUUCUACAGAAUCGGAUAGGAAUCCAUCGGUUAAAGAGGACAAGAGACUAUGGUUUGUUUGGGAAUUCAACAGUUGACAGAUUGCAGCUUCUGACUUGCAAAUGCCAGCAGGCAGAAAGUGUUGGUGGUUUAACUGCAGAUGAUGGAAAUGGAACCUGGUUUGUAGAUAGUUCAAGGGCAUUACACCUUAAUGGUGUGAUAAAUCCUCCAAAUGUUUUGGAGUUCGAGGAUGUUCAGCAGUUGAAACAAGAAAAUGGUGAUUUGACAUCUAAUGGUGCAGUUAAACAGGAAAACGAGAGUUUGCCAAGUAAUGGUGCAUUAGGUAUAGGUAAAGAUGCCUCCAAGGUUACCAGAGAUUCUAUUGAAGAUGAAGCUUGGGACUUAUUGCUCAAUUCUAUGGUUUAUUAUUGUGGCAGUCCGAUUGGAACAAUCGCUGCCAGUGACCCUACUAGUUCCAGCGUGUUGAAUUAUGAUCAGGUCUUCAUUAGAGACUUUAUACCUUCUGGUAUUGCAUUUCUUUUGAAGGGAGAGUAUGAUAUU